RNAcentral lists this ribosomal RNA (759 nucleotides) under uncultured delta proteobacterium. RNAcentral's name for it is "bacterial SSU rRNA". It matches the Rfam family "Bacterial small subunit ribosomal RNA", at positions 8 to 738 of the family's 1533-position model. Lineage: Bacteria; Deltaproteobacteria. The record is from RNAcentral.
AUAGUUUGAUGAUGGCUCAGAAUGAACGCUUGGCGGCGUGCCUAACACAUGCAAGUCGAACGAGAAAGUCCGAGCUUGCUCGGGCGAGUAAAGUGGCGCACGGGUGAGUAACGCGUGGGUAACCUGCCCUUGAAACCGGGAUAACUUCGCGAAAGCGUUGCUAAUACCGGAUAUUGUCCCUUUUGCUAUGGCAUGAGGGAUGAAAGGUGACCUCUUCAUGAAAGUUGCCGUUCAAGGAGGGGCUCGCGUACCAUUAGCUUGUUGGUAGGGUAAUGGCCUACCAAGACUUCGAUGGUUAGCGGGUCUGAGAGGAUGAUCCGUCACACUGGCACUGAAACACGGGCCAGACUCCUACGGGGGGCAGCAGUGAGGAAUAUUGCGCAAUGGGGGAAACCCUGACGCAGCGACGCCGCGUGGGUGAGGAAGGCUUUCGGGUCGUAAAGCCCUGUCAGAAGGGAAGAAAUGUGUAGUGGUUAAUACCCAUUGCACUUGACGGUACCUUCAAAGGAAGCACCGGCUAACUCCGUGCCAGCAGCCGCGGUAAUACGGAGGGUGCAAGCGUUGUUCGGAAUCACUGGGCGUAAAGGGCGCGCAGGCGGUUUGAUUAGUCAGAUGUGAAAGCCCACGGCUUAACCGUGGAAGUGCAUUUGAAACUGUCAGACUUGAGUACCAGAGGGGGUAGUGGAAUUCCCGGUGUAGAGGUGAAAUUCGUAGAUAUCGGGAGGAAUACCGGUGGCGAAGGCGACUACCUGGCUGGAU